RNAcentral lists this ribosomal RNA (390 nucleotides) under uncultured bacterium. RNAcentral describes it as "bacterial SSU rRNA". It matches the Rfam family "Bacterial small subunit ribosomal RNA", at positions 28 to 412 of the family's 1533-position model. The record is from RNAcentral.
GACGAACGCUGGCGGCGUGCUUAACACAUGCAAGUCGAGCGGGGUCCAUCCUGUCGCAAGACAGGGGAAGACCUAGCGGCGAACGGGUGAGUAACACGUGAGCAACCUGCCCCGAAGACUGGGAUAACACCGGGAAACCGGUGCUAAUACCGGAUGCCCUCAGAGAGUCGCAUGGCUCAUUGAGGAAAUGGAUUCCGCUUCGGGAGGGGCUCGCGGCCUAUCAGCUUGNGGUGGGGUAACGGCCUACCAAGGCUCCGACGGGUAGCUGGUCUGAGAGGACGACCAGCCACACUGGGACUGAGACACGGCCCAGACUCCUACGGGAGGCAGCAGUGGGGAAUCUUGCGCAAUGGGCGAAAGCCUGACGCAGCAACGCCGCGUGGGGACGAA